RNAcentral lists this long non-coding RNA (1016 nucleotides) under Diabrotica virgifera virgifera (western corn rootworm). RNAcentral's name for it is "uncharacterized LOC126879644". Lineage: Eukaryota; Metazoa; Arthropoda; Insecta; Coleoptera; Chrysomelidae. The record is from RNAcentral.
UUAUUGAAUUUUUUAAAUAUACUGAUUUAAUAAUUGAUUUUAAUAUUGAUUUUGCCCGGCGCCAUCUAUUAAUCACUUACCUUACUAGCUCAGUUAUAAAGUGAAUUCUGCAUGAGAUCUCCUAUCUGUGGAGGUGUGAGAAAAGAUUUCUGAAAUAUCAACUAAACAAACGACACAAAAAUACAGCUAUAUGAAAUGGUUGAUAAAUAACAAAAGACUGUCGAAUAUUGUACACGAAUUUGGAAAUAUAUUGAAAAUAAAGGCUUUGUUAUGCAACAUCAAAAAUACAAGGUUAUCUAGUCGAAAGUCUGAAGGAAGAAAUACGAUGCAAUGAAUUUAACUAUAAAAAAAAAAUAAAAGUAUUUGACAAAAAAUUAAGUCGAAGAUAACCCAAAAUUAUCUUGAAUAUUCAAAAUUUGUUAUACUAAAGCUAGAAAAUGAAAAACAUUGACUUUAGAUCAUGAUCAAUUAAAAAUAUAAACUGUUCAGUACAACCUUUCACGAUGUAAUAUGAAGAUAAACCAAACUGCUAUGAAGUCUCUUCGGAUCCAAGAAGAAACCAACUCCUUCUAUUUCACUGGAACAAUGUUCUAAACAUGGUAGAUACCCGCAUCGGAAUACUUUUUCACUUUUCUUAUAAAGUUGAGGGUCAUUUUUGAAAAUUUUUUCUUCACCAUGAAGAUUAUUUAUACAGAUUAAUGUCUAUUUCAACAUAAUUUCACAAAUCUAUACAUGCAGCUAAAUGAUGCAAGACGUAUCACCUUAACGAAGUUCCUUUCGAAGUGACUUUUGGAAACAUGGAACCUUUUGAUGAUUCUUACGAACAAAUAAGGCUAUUGUAUGAUACAAAUAGAAGUAAUUCUCUGGUAAAACUCAAAAUUCAAAUUAUUAUAUAUUCUAUUUACUAAUUUCUAAUUUAUAUGUCAUUGAAAUAUCAUCUUUGAUAUAGGAUUACCUAUUUUGAUUUCUUAUGUAAUUCUACCUUUAUACACUUAAAUAAAACCAUCUUAUAACUA